UACGGGGGGAGCAAGCGUUGUUCGGAAUUACUGGGCGUAAAGGGCGCGUAGGCGGCCUUCUAAGUCAGACGUGAAAUCCCCCGGCUUAACCUGGGAACUGCGUCUGAUACUGGGAGGCUAGAGUAUGGGAGAGGGAUGUAGAAUUCCAGGUGUAGCGGCGAAAUGCGUAGAUAUCUGGAGGAAUACCGGUGGCGAAGGCGGCAUCCUGGACCAUUACUGACGCUGAGGCGCGAAAGCUAGGGGAGCAAACGGG
RNAcentral lists this ribosomal RNA (253 nucleotides) under uncultured bacterium. Its description in RNAcentral is "partial 16S ribosomal RNA". It matches the Rfam family "Bacterial small subunit ribosomal RNA", at positions 524 to 776 of the family's 1533-position model. The record is from RNAcentral.